This 404-nucleotide ribosomal RNA is filed under the name uncultured bacterium. RNAcentral's name for it is "bacterial SSU rRNA". It matches the Rfam family "Bacterial small subunit ribosomal RNA", at positions 355 to 776 of the family's 1533-position model. The record is from RNAcentral.
UGGGGAAUAUUGCACAAUGGGGGAAACCCUGAUGCAGCAACGCCGCGUGAGUGAUGACGGCCUUCGGGUUGUAAAGCUCUGUCUUCAGGGACGAUAAUGACGGUACCCGAGGAGGAAGCCACGGCUAACUACGUGCCAGCAGCCGCGGUAAUACGUAGGUGGCGAGCGUUGUCCGGAUUUACUGGGCGUAAAGGGAGCGUAGGCGGACUUUUAAGUGAGAUGUGAAAUACUCGGGCUCAACUUGAGUGCUGCAUUUCAAACUGGAAGUCUAGAGUGCAGGAGAGGAGAAUGGAAUUCCUAGUGUAGCGGUGAAAUGCGUAGAGAUUAGGAAGAACACCAGUGGCGAAGGCGAUUCUCUGGACUGUAACUGACGCUGAGGCUCGAAAGCGUGGGGAGCAAACAGG